AGCAGCCGCGGUAAUUCCAGCUCCAAUAGCGUAUAUUAAAGUUGUUGCAGUUAAAAAGCUCGUAGUUGAAUUUCGGGAUCAGUACGCUGGUCGUGCCUUCGGUAUGAACUGGUGUCACUGGUUCCUCCCUUCUGAAGAACCGUCAUGCCAUUCAGUUGGUGUGGCGGGGAAUCAGGACUGUUACUUUGAAAAAAUUGAGUGUUUAAAGCAGGCUCGCGCUUGAAUACAUUAGCAUGGAAUAAUGAAAUAGGACGUUUGACCCUAUUUUGUUGGUUUCUAGGAUCGACGUAAUGAUUAAUAGGGAUAGUUGGGGGCAUUAGUAUUCAAUUGUCAGAGGUGAAAUUCUUGGAUUUAUUGAAGACUAACUACUGCGAAAGCAUUUGCCAAGGAUGUUUUCAUUAAUCAAGAACGAAAGUUAGGGGAUCGAAGACGAUCAGAUACCGUCGUAGUCUUAACCAUAAACUAUGCCGACUAGGGAUCGGAUGAUGUUAAUUUUUAAUGUACUCAUUCGGCUACCG
Molecule: ribosomal RNA, 518 nt
Filed under: uncultured Glomeraceae
Lineage: Eukaryota; Fungi; Glomeromycota; Glomeromycetes; Glomerales; Glomeraceae
Description: SSU rRNA
Rfam family: Eukaryotic small subunit ribosomal RNA
Source: RNAcentral